This 253-nucleotide ribosomal RNA is filed under the name uncultured bacterium. RNAcentral describes it as "partial 16S ribosomal RNA". It matches the Rfam family "Bacterial small subunit ribosomal RNA", at positions 524 to 776 of the family's 1533-position model. The record is from RNAcentral.
UACAGAGGUCUCAAGCGUUGUUCGGAUUCAUUGGGCGUAAAGGGUGUGUAGGUGGCGCCGUAAGUCGGGUGUGAAAUUUCGGAGCUUAACUCCGAAACUGCAUUCGAUACUGCGGUGCUUGAGGACUGGAGAGGAGACUGGAAUUCAUGGCGUAGCAGUGAAAUGCGUAGAGAUCAUGAGGAAGACCAGUGGCGAAGGCGGGUCUCUGGGCCGAUACUGACGCUGAGGAGCGAAAGCGUGGGGAGCGAACAGG